AUUCCAGCUCCAAUAGCGUAUAUUAAAGUUGUUGCAGUUAAAAAGCUCGUAGUUGGAUUUCUGGCGGGAGCGGCCUGUCCUGCCCUUUGCGGGGUUGAGCACAAGCGCUGCAUCCGGCCAUCCUUGUGGAGAGCGUUUCUGGCAUUCAGUUGUCGGACUCGGGAUCCGCAUCGUUUACUGUGAAAAAAUUAGAGUGUUUAAAGCAGGCAUUUGCUUGAAUACAUUAGCAUGGAAUAAUAAGAUAGGACUUAGUCGUUAUUUUGUUGGUCUUGCACGUCUAGGUAAUGAUUAAUAGGGAUAGUUGGGGGUAUUCAUAUUUAAUUGUCAGAGGUGAAAUUCUUGGAUUUAUGAAAGAUGAACUUAUGCGAAAGCAUUUACCAUGGAUGUUUUCAUCG
RNAcentral lists this ribosomal RNA (395 nucleotides) under Stramenopiles sp. MAST-6. RNAcentral describes it as "partial small subunit ribosomal RNA". It matches the Rfam family "Eukaryotic small subunit ribosomal RNA", at positions 582 to 975 of the family's 1831-position model. The record is from RNAcentral.